ACCUAGUCCCACCACACCCCCAAGGGUACUCAGCAGUGAUAAACAUUGUCUAUAAGCGCCAGCUUGACCCAGUUAUAAAGAAGAGGGCCGGCCAACUUGGUGCCAGCCGCCGCGGCUAGACCAACUGGACUCAAAUUGAUAAUUCCCGGCGUUAAGCGUGAUUAAAGCCACACACCAAUUAGAGUUAAACCUAUGUUGAGCAGUGAAAAGCACACGAUAGGGAAACCCAGAAACGAAAGUUACUCUAAUCUCUGCUUGAAUACACGACAGCUAGAAUACAAACUGGGAUUAGAUACCCCACUAUGUCUAGCCGUAAACUAUUAACCCACACUAACCCCGCGCCAGGGAACUACGAGCCUUAGCUUAAAACCCAAAGGACUUGACGGUGUCCCACCCAACUAGAGGAGCCUGUUCUAUAAUCGAUAACCCCCGCUUCACCCAACCCCCCCUUGCUUUAUCAGCCUGUAUACCUCCGUCGUAAACCCGCCGUAUGAAUGUACUUAAGCGGAUUCAAUGGUCUCCCACCAACACGUCAGGUCAAGGUGCAGCCAAUGGGGGUGGUAACUAAUGGGCUACAAUUUCUAACCUAGAACAAACGAAGUACUGUAUGAAACACAGUCAUGAAGGAGGAUUUAGUAGUAAAAAGAAAGUAGCGUGUUCUUUUUAACACGGCCCUGGGACGUGUACACA
This 690-nucleotide ribosomal RNA is filed under the name Hoplobatrachus rugulosus (rugose frog). RNAcentral describes it as "partial 12S rRNA". It matches the Rfam family "Bacterial small subunit ribosomal RNA", at positions 381 to 1389 of the family's 1533-position model. The record is from RNAcentral. Lineage: Eukaryota; Metazoa; Chordata; Amphibia; Anura; Dicroglossidae.